GGUUUGGUGGCGAUAGCGAGAGCAAAACACCCGGUCCCAUCCCGAACCCGGAAGUUAAGUGCCUUUGCGCCAAUGGUACUGCGUCUUAAGGCGUGGGAGAGUAGGUCACUGCCAAACCU
This 119-nucleotide ribosomal RNA is filed under the name Pseudophaeobacter arcticus. The record is from RNAcentral. Lineage: Bacteria; Pseudomonadati; Pseudomonadota; Alphaproteobacteria; Rhodobacterales; Roseobacteraceae.